GUUAAGAUGGUCAAUGUUGUGUGU
Molecule: microRNA, 24 nt
Filed under: Prunus persica (peach)
Lineage: Eukaryota; Viridiplantae; Streptophyta; Magnoliopsida; Rosales; Rosaceae
Description: microRNA miRNA_62
Source: RNAcentral